This 105-nucleotide transfer RNA is filed under the name Fusarium fujikuroi. RNAcentral describes it as "tRNA-Phe for anticodon GAA". It matches the Rfam family "tRNA". Rfam says of the family: Transfer RNA (tRNA) molecules are approximately 80 nucleotides in length. Lineage: Eukaryota; Fungi; Ascomycota; Sordariomycetes; Hypocreales; Nectriaceae. RNAcentral also lists the same sequence under 1 other name. The record is from RNAcentral.
GCGGGUUUAGCUCAGUUGGGAGAGCGUCAGACUGAAGUUAAACUUCAAUCCUCACCAAAAUCAAGUGAUAUCUGAAGGUCGUGUGUUCGAUCCACACAAACCGCA